CCCAGCUGCGGACGGAGGACUUGGAGAGCUGUGGGAGGAGACUGGACUACAGCUGCCCCAGGGCCACUUGUCUCGGUCUGCCUAUCCUAGGUGAGCUGGGGUUUCCCCAAAUACCAUCGCAUCAUUCUUUAUCCACCUGUGAUCUCCCAGGAGUCAGGGCAGCAGCUGCAGGUCCGGAUCCAACCAAACCCAAGUGAGGUGAGCGCCUCUAUGUGGCUGGAACCAGAUACAGCAGCUGCAGUGGGUGCCGCGGCCAGGAGCCAGGACCGGGCUGGAUAGGACAGAAACUCCCAGAGAUCUCCCUCAGGACCGCCCAUCCUCUAUCCUGGAAGUGAGAGCUUCUUCCUUAGCCUCCAACAUAACACCACUUACACACUGAGAAACUCAGUUCCCUUCUUUUCUUUAGAAUGGAAUUUUGUGGUGUAGAGAAGAUUUAGGGAAUGAGUUGGUUCACUGAUGAUUGGGAGAUACAUGAGAUCAAACUCCAAGGGUUCUUACUCCAACUGGCUAGAAAUGAGGACCUAAGUUUGACCCUCAACUAAGGGCACCCUCCUUGAACCUCUUGCCUUUCUGUAAAAUGAGAUUAAUACCCAACCACCUAACAUGACCUAAAAAAGAAGUUUUU
Molecule: non-coding RNA, 625 nt
Organism: Urocitellus parryii (Arctic ground squirrel)
Lineage: Eukaryota; Metazoa; Chordata; Mammalia; Rodentia; Sciuridae
Source: RefSeq, a predicted model, not a curated record